GAAUGUAAUUCAUGCUGCAUCGGAGAUGCAGAAGCUCUCCCUAAGCCAAAAAGAGAUUGUGGAAGCCAACAAGUUCAAAAAGAUUUCCCAUGAGAAGAAGGGGGCAGCUCCAGUGAACAUGUCCAAACUUUUAAGUUUUGGUUAUGUUGAGGAAGAGAAUAAAUCUCUCAAUGAUGAUGAUGCUUCAAGUAUUACCUCUGAGCAGACCAGCACCAUUGCACCAGAGGAGGAACUGGAAUAAAAAUGAUGUCCCCUAGCUAAAACCCUUCUUCAUGAAUUGUUGUUCUCUCGUAUCCACUAGCUCCUUUGAAUCAACCACCCACUCUGCUUUAUGCAAAAACACUUUUUAGUCAUCUGAUUGUUCUCAUUUUGCAUCUUUAUCUAAAUGACUUGUUUGUGUUAUGCUCACAUAUCUAUGGUGCUUGUGAUCAGGAUAACUAUACCCCUAGAAGGAAGGAAUAUUUGUAAGUCCCUAAAUGAAAUCUACAGGGUAUAUGCACCACAAAAUACAUCUUGGAUGCAUGAAGCAUUGAUACCAAGGAGCUGAUUUUCAUACUAUUCAUUCUUCACUUGCACAUUGGUGAUCAUGGCGCAAUAAUGUGCCAAAACCUUAAGAAAACUAAAGAUAGCACACACAUAGACAGAUAGGAUAUACCUAUGCCACGUUAAACAGCUGUUUCUCACCUCACAUUGUCAAUGGAUAUGACAAAAUGUGUAAGCUGCAAACUCUUACUACACUUUCCAUGGCUGGUUUAUACAUUACAGUAAGUCUCUUGUUUGAACACUUUUGAGUGUUCUUACAGCCCAGUAGUUAGCUAGUUGAGCGCAUGAUGAGCACACAAGAAGGUUACCUUACAGUAAAUGAUUAUAUGAAGUGAGAACUUUGAGAACAGGAAGGGGGUUUAGGGAGUUCGCGAUUGUGAAUGUCUGUUGUUGUUAGUUUUGAUGUGAUAGUAAAUAAUAACCAGAGAUUCAGCUGUUUUGGUGUUCUACGCUGUAUAAUUUAAUGUUUCUUCCUUCUGAAAACAAUGUUUACACUUGCUGUCAGUUCCUAUCUAUAAAUGAUGACUGAAUAAAUUUGC
Sinocyclocheilus anshuiensis is the source of this 1082-nucleotide long non-coding RNA. RefSeq lists it as uncharacterized. The transcript is spliced from 3 exons. Lineage: Eukaryota; Metazoa; Chordata; Actinopteri; Cypriniformes; Cyprinidae. The record is from RefSeq and is a predicted model, not a curated record.